UGUCAAGCGUUAAGCGCCGUUUCGGUGAGCGGAUUUCUUUUGCCUGAUCAAAGGGUGAAAGCAAUG
This is a regulatory RNA element of Phyllobacterium sp. YR531, 66 nucleotides long. It matches the Rfam family "S-element". From Rfam's summary of the family: This family represents a group of S-elements from p42d and related plasmids. The S-element has multiple functions and is believed to act as a negative regulator of repC transcription, be required for efficient replication and act as a translational enhancer of repC. The record is from Rfam. NCBI's taxonomy places the organism in Bacteria, Pseudomonadati, Pseudomonadota, Alphaproteobacteria, Hyphomicrobiales, Phyllobacteriaceae.